RNAcentral lists this ribosomal RNA (518 nucleotides) under Proteus mirabilis. RNAcentral describes it as "bacterial SSU rRNA". It matches the Rfam family "Bacterial small subunit ribosomal RNA", at positions 795 to 1312 of the family's 1533-position model. Lineage: Bacteria; Pseudomonadati; Pseudomonadota; Gammaproteobacteria; Enterobacterales; Morganellaceae. The record is from RNAcentral.
CCACGCUGUAAACGAUGUCGAUUUAGAGGUUGUGGUCUUGAACCGUGGCUUCUGGAGCUAACGCGUUAAAUCGACCGCCUGGGGAGUACGGCCGCAAGGUUAAAACUCAAAUGAAUUGACGGGGGCCCGCACAAGCGGUGGAGCAUGUGGUUUAAUUCGAUGCAACGCGAAGAACCUUACCUACUCUUGACAUCCAGCGAAUCCUUUAGAGAUAGAGGAGUGCCUUCGGGAACGCUGAGACAGGUGCUGCAUGGCUGUCGUCAGCUCGUGUUGUGAAAUGUUGGGUUAAGUCCCGCAACGAGCGCAACCCUUAUCCUUUGUUGCCAGCACGUAAUGGUGGGAACUCAAAGGAGACUGCCGGUGAUAAACCGGAGGAAGGUGGGGAUGACGUCAAGUCAUCAUGGCCCUUACGAGUAGGGCUACACACGUGCUACAAUGGCAGAUACAAAGAGAAGCGACCUCGCGAGAGCAAGCGGAACUCAUAAAGUCUGUCGUAGUCCGGAUUGGAGUCUGCAACU